CCCUUAGAUGUUCUGGGCCGCACGCGCGCUACACUGAUGCAUUCAACGAGCCUAUCCUUGACCGACAGGUCCGGGUAAUCUUUGAAUCUGCAUCGUGACGGGGAUAGAUUAUUGCAAUUAUUAAUCUUGAACGAGGAAUUCCUAGUAAACGCAAAUCAUCAAUUUGCAUUGAUUACGUCCCUGCCCUUUGUACACACCGCCCGUCGCACCUACCGAUUGAAUGGUCCGGUGAAAUCUCGGGAUUGUGGCCAGUUCACUUUAUUGGGAGUUGGCUGCGAGAACUUGCUUAAACCUUAUCAUUUAGAGGAAGGUGAAGUCGUAACA
This 324-nucleotide ribosomal RNA is filed under the name uncultured eukaryote. RNAcentral's name for it is "partial 18S ribosomal RNA". It matches the Rfam family "Eukaryotic small subunit ribosomal RNA", at positions 1470 to 1796 of the family's 1831-position model. The record is from RNAcentral.